Solanum dulcamara is the source of this 670-nucleotide long non-coding RNA. RefSeq lists it as uncharacterized. The transcript has 3 exons. Lineage: Eukaryota; Viridiplantae; Streptophyta; Magnoliopsida; Solanales; Solanaceae. The record is from RefSeq and is a predicted model, not a curated record.
CUUUUAAAUGGGUGGUGUAAGAGAGCAAACCCUAAUUUUUUGCUAUUCUUUUUCUUUCUCCUUACAACACAAAGCUACCACCUUCAACGUUUUCCUCUCCAUCUUCCCCAAACACAUCCCAUUCCCAUUUUCACCCUUUCUUGUCCAUUUUCCUUCACCCAUCAGCACUCCAAACAACCAAAUCCACUUUCACUCCCUUUCCUUGCCGAGUUCCUCCAUUAAUGGAGAACUCCGAGCUCCCUCUUUUCCAGCGAAACCCAAGAUCUGCAGUGAGUUUCAACUUGAAGCAACCAACGACAAUAGCUCGAACUCGGCAAAGUAAGGAGAAACAACAAGGCUUCUAUGGCGAAACUCCAAUCUCCAACCACGAGAAAACACCAUCGAUCUCCCUUCAACUUUGGUGUUAGAGAUCAUCAAGAGGAGCAUCAUUGAUGAACACAUUCAUCCAGGUUUUGGAUAAUAAGCUUCCAAAUGAGUGAUCAUAUCAUGAAAUGGAUAUAUAGAGGUGAUUAAGAAUUAAAGUAAGAGUUUUAGGCCAAAGGGAGCUUGUUAAAAUAUAUUUAAUUUGAAAGUUUUAUUUUGAGAAAGUAUUUGAAGUGUUCUAGUAUGUGUUAUGACUUGGGAUGACCAUAUCUCUCAAUAUAUGAUGAUUUAAAGAGACGAUUACUUA